AAGUUCUUUUAUUUUUUUUGUAAGUUUUAAAGAAGACUAUACCAUACAAAAUAUAAAUGCAUGCAUAGGUUAUGUUAUAUUACAUAAGAUAACUGAAUUUAAACUAGUGAUACUGACGACAUAAUUAGAUUUCUACUGGUUAUAUAUAUUUAAUCCACAACUCAAGCACUCUCUAAAUAAUCUAGUAUUGUCAACUACUUUACUUCUGCCACAGCCCCAUACCUUAAUUUUAUGCGAAGAUGUCUUUACCUCAAAUAUAGACAUGCAUUUUGGGCUAAAGCCUUUCCCCUUUGCUAAACUCGAAAGUAUCACA
Molecule: non-coding RNA, 313 nt
Organism: Biomphalaria pfeifferi
Lineage: Eukaryota; Metazoa; Mollusca; Gastropoda; Planorbidae
Source: the annotation of a GenBank genome assembly